UACGUAGGUGGCAAGCGUUAUCCGGAAUUACUGGGUGUAAAGGGAGCGCAGGCGGGAGAGCAAGUCAGCGGUGAAAUGUAUGGGCUUAACCCAUGAACUGCCGUUGAAACUGUCCUUCUUGAGUGGAGUAGAGGCAAGCGGAAUUCCGAGUGUAGCGGUGAAAUGCGUAGAUAUUCGGAGGAACACCAGUGGCGAAGGCGGCUUGCUGGGCUCUAACUGACGCUGAGGCUCGAAAGUGUGGGGAG
This 245-nucleotide ribosomal RNA is filed under the name uncultured Oscillospiraceae bacterium. RNAcentral describes it as "partial 16S ribosomal RNA". It matches the Rfam family "Bacterial small subunit ribosomal RNA", at positions 524 to 768 of the family's 1533-position model. The record is from RNAcentral. Lineage: Bacteria; Bacillati; Bacillota; Clostridia; Eubacteriales; Oscillospiraceae.